This is a long non-coding RNA of Camelina sativa (false flax), 675 nucleotides long. RefSeq lists it as uncharacterized. Lineage: Eukaryota; Viridiplantae; Streptophyta; Magnoliopsida; Brassicales; Brassicaceae. The record is from RefSeq and is a predicted model, not a curated record.
CGAUAGCUUUCAAGUCUCUGUCUUAUCUCUACAUGCUUCUCUUCUUUGGCUAAUUCUCUACCAUUUCUUAAAUUAUCUCUUACCUUUCACCUCUCUAUUCUAUAUAAAUGCAUAAACAUACGUUAGUAAUAUUGAUAAGUAAAGAGGAUUAUUAAGAUGACAUCUUCCAUAGUCACUCCCAUUGUUCUCUUUCUUCUUUUUCUUCUCCUGUCUCCAUAUAUGAAUGAAGCCCUUGGUACACAGAUGGAACUAGGCAAACUUGGUGAAGAAAAGACAAACCAUCCUGAUCAAGUGAUGGUCCAAAGGAUUCCACGGAUUUCAAUUCCGCGACGGUUUUUAGCGCUUCGGUAUUGCCGACGCUACACCCGAUGUCAGCCUCCUCCGCUUCCAAUCUCUCCCAAAAGCACAAACGGACUUGGUCACUGAUCUCAUUAUAGCUUCGGUUGGGUCUUCGGAUGCCUCUAUAUGUAUCUUUAUGCACGCUUUUUACAUUGUGAUUUGUUUUGCGAAUUCUGUUCUCCAUCCAUAUGCAGGAUUGUUUGUCAUAAUUUGCAGAUUUAUCGAAUGCAAAUAUAUAUACAUAUAUAUAUAUAUAUAUGCAUAUGUGUGAUAGUUUCUGCUGAAUAUUGUAUAACUACAUUAGUUGAUUGGAACAAUACGCAGAGAAUUAGAGCA